This 2958-nucleotide ribosomal RNA is filed under the name Bacillus subtilis. RNAcentral's name for it is "bacterial LSU rRNA". It matches the Rfam family "Bacterial large subunit ribosomal RNA". Lineage: Bacteria; Bacillati; Bacillota; Bacilli; Caryophanales; Bacillaceae. The record is from RNAcentral.
CGGUUAAGUUAGAAAGGGCGCACGGUGGAUGCCUUGGCACUAGGAGCCGAUGAAGGACGGGACGAACACCGAUAUGCUUCGGGGAGCUGUAAGCAAGCUUUGAUCCGGAGAUUUCCGAAUGGGGAAACCCACCACUCGUAAUGGAGUGGUAUCCAUAUCUGAAUUCAUAGGAUAUGAGAAGGCAGACCCGGGGAACUGAAACAUCUAAGUACCCGGAGGAAGAGAAAGCAAAUGCGAUUCCCUGAGUAGCGGCGAGCGAAACGGGAUUAGCCCAAACCAAGAGGCUUGCCUCUUGGGGUUGUAGGACACUCUGUACGGAGUUACAAAAGAACGAGGUAGAUGAAGAGGUCUGGAAAGGCCCGCCAUAGGAGGUAACAGCCCUGUAGUCAAAACUUCGUUCUCUCCUGAGUGGAUCCUGAGUACGGCGGAACACGUGAAAUUCCGUCGGAAUCCGGGAACGAGGUAGAUGAAGAGGUCUGGAAAGGCCCGCCAUAGGAGGUAACAGCCCUGUAGUCAAAACUUCGUUCUCUCCUGAGUGGAUCCUGAGUACGGCGGAACACGUGAAAUUCCGUCGGAAUCCGGGAGGACCAUCUCCCAAGGCUAAAUACUCCCUAGUGACCGAUAGUGAACCAGUACCGUGAGGGAAAGGUGAAAAGCACCCCGGAAGGGGAGUGAAAGAGAUCCUGAAACCGUGUGCCUACAAGUAGUCAGAGCCCGUUAACGGGUGAUGGCGUGCCUUUUGUAGAAUGAACCGGCGAGUUACGAUCCCGUGCAAGGUUAAGCAGAAGAUGCGGAGCCGCAGCGAAAGCGAGUCUGAAUAGGGCGCAUGAGUACGUGGUCGUAGACCCGAAACCAGGUGAUCUACCCAUGUCCAGGGUGAAGUUCAGGUAACACUGAAUGGAGGCCCGAACCCACGCACGUUGAAAAGUGCGGGGAUGAGGUGUGGGUAGGGGUGAAAUGCCAAUCGAACCUGGAGAUAGCUGGUUCUCUCCGAAAUAGCUUUAGGGCUAGCCUCAAGGUAAGAGUCUUGGAGGUAGAGCACUGAUUGGACUAGGGGCCCCUACCGGGUUACCGAAUUCAGUCAAACUCCGAAUGCCAAUGACUUAUCCUUGGGAGUCAGACUGCGAGUGAUAAGAUCCGUAGUCGAAAGGGAAACAGCCCAGACCGCCAGCUAAGGUCCCAAAGUAUACGUUAAGUGGAAAAGGAUGUGGAGUUGCUUAGACAACCAGGAUGUUGGCUUAGAAGCAGCCACCAUUUAAAGAGUGCGUAAUAGCUCACUGGUCGAGUGACUCUGCGCCGAAAAUGUACCGGGGCUAAACGUAUCACCGAAGCUGCGGACUGUUCUUCGAACAGUGGUAGGAGAGCGUUCUAAGGGCUGUGAAGCCAGACCGGAAGGACUGGUGGAGCGCUUAGAAGUGAGAAUGCCGGUAUGAGUAGCGAAAGAGGGGUGAGAAUCCCCUCCACCGAAUGCCUAAGGUUUCCUGAGGAAGGCUCGUCCGCUCAGGGUUAGUCGGGACCUAAGCCGAGGCCGAAAGGCGUAGGCGAUGGACAACAGGUUGAUAUUCCUGUACCACCUCCUCACCAUUUGAGCAAUGGGGGGACGCAGGAGGAUAGGGUAAGCGCGGUAUUGGAUAUCCGCGUCCAAGCAGUUAGGCUGGGAAAUAGGCAAAUCCGUUUCCCAUAAGGCUGAGCUGUGAUGGCGAGCGAAAUAUAGUAGCGAAGUUCCUGAUUCCACACUGCCAAGAAAAGCCUCUAGCGAGGUGAGAGGUGCCCGUACCGCAAACCGACACAGGUAGGCGAGGAGAGAAUCCUAAGGUGAUCGAGAGAACUCUCGUUAAGGAACUCGGCAAAAUGACCCCGUAACUUCGGGAGAAGGGGUGCUCUGUUAGGGUGCAAGCCCGAGAGAGCCGCAGUGAAUAGGCCCAGGCGACUGUUUAGCAAAAACACAGGUCUCUGCGAAGCCGUAAGGCGAAGUAUAGGGGCUGACGCCUGCCCGGUGCUGGAAGGUUAAGAGGAGCGCUUAGCGUAAGCGAAGGUGCGAAUUGAAGCCCCAGUAAACGGCGGCCGUAACUAUAACGGUCCUAAGGUAGCGAAAUUCCUUGUCGGGUAAGUUCCGACCCGCACGAAAGGCGCAACGAUCUGGGCACUGUCUCAACGAGAGACUCGGUGAAAUUAUAGUACCUGUGAAGAUGCAGGUUACCCGCGACAGGACGGAAAGACCCCGUGGAGCUUUACUGCAGCCUGAUAUUGAAUGUUGGUACAGCUUGUACAGGAUAGGUAGGAGCCUUGGAAACCGGAGCGCCAGCUUCGGUGGAGGCAUCGGUGGGAUACUACCCUGGCUGUAUUGACCUUCUAACCCGCCGCCCUUAUCGGGCGGGGAGACAGUGUCAGGUGGGCAGUUUGACUGGGGCGGUCGCCUCCUAAAAGGUAACGGAGGCGCCCAAAGGUUCCCUCAGAAUGGUUGGAAAUCAUUCGCAGAGUGUAAAGGCACAAGGGAGCUUGACUGCGAGACCUACAAGUCGAGCAGGGACGAAAGUCGGGCUUAGUGAUCCGGUGGUUCCGCAUGGAAGGGCCAUCGCUCAACGGAUAAAAGCUACCCCGGGGAUAACAGGCUUAUCUCCCCCAAGAGUCCACAUCGACGGGGAGGUUUGGCACCUCGAUGUCGGCUCAUCGCAUCCUGGGGCUGUAGUCGGUCCCAAGGGUUGGGCUGUUCGCCCAUUAAAGCGGUACGCGAGCUGGGUUCAGAACGUCGUGAGACAGUUCGGUCCCUAUCCGUCGCGGGCGCAGGAAAUUUGAGAGGAGCUGUCCUUAGUACGAGAGGACCGGGAUGGACGCACCGCUGGUGUACCAGUUGUUCUGCCAAGGGCAUCGCUGGGUAGCUAUGUGCGGACGGGAUAAGUGCUGAAAGCAUCUAAGCAUGAAGCCCCCCUCAAGAUGAGAUUUCCCAUUCCGGCAUGU